This 1162-nucleotide ribosomal RNA is filed under the name Staphylococcus aureus. RNAcentral's name for it is "bacterial SSU rRNA". It matches the Rfam family "Bacterial small subunit ribosomal RNA", at positions 69 to 1215 of the family's 1533-position model. Lineage: Bacteria; Bacillati; Bacillota; Bacilli; Caryophanales; Staphylococcaceae. The record is from RNAcentral.
GGACGAGAAGCUUGCUUCUCUGAUGUUAGCGGCGGACGGGUGAGUAACACGUGGAUAACCUACCUAUAAGACUGGGAUAACUUCGGGAAACCGGAGCUAAUACCGGAUAAUAUUUUGAACCGCAUGGUUCAAAAGUGAAAGACGGUCUUGCUGUCACUUAUAGAUGGAUCCGCGCUGCAUUAGCUAGUUGGUAAGGUAACGGCUUACCAAGGCAACGAUGCAUAGCCGACCUGAGAGGGUGAUCGGCCACACUGGAACUGAGACACGGUCCAGACUCCUACGGGAGGCAGCAGUAGGGAAUCUUCCGCAAUGGGCGAAAGCCUGACGGAGCAACGCCGCGUGAGUGAUGAAGGUCUUCGGAUCGUAAAACUCUGUUAUUAGGGAAGAACAUAUGUGUAAGUAACUGUGCACAUCUUGACGGUACCUAAUCAGAAAGCCACGGCUAACUACGUGCCAGCAGCCGCGGUAAUACGUAGGUGGCAAGCGUUAUCCGGAAUUAUUGGGCGUAAAGCGCGCGUAGGCGGUUUUUUAAGUCUGAUGUGAAAGCCCACGGCUCAACCGUGGAGGGUCAUUGGAAACUGGAAAACUUGAGUGCAGAAGAGGAAAGUGGAAUUCCAUGUGUAGCGGUGAAAUGCGCAGAGAUAUGGAGGAACACCAGUGGCGAAGGCGACUUUCUGGUCUGUAACUGACGCUGAUGUGCGAAAGCGUGGGGAUCAAACAGGAUUAGAUACCCUGGUAGUCCACGCCGUAAACGAUGAGUGCUAAGUGUUAGGGGGUUUCCGCCCCUUAGUGCUGCAGCUAACGCAUUAAGCACUCCGCCUGGGGAGUACGACCGCAAGGUUGAAACUCAAAGGAAUUGACGGGGACCCGCACAAGCGGUGGAGCAUGUGGUUUAAUUCGAAGCAACGCGAAGAACCUUACCAAAUCUUGACAUCCUUUGACAACUCUAGAGAUAGAGCCUUCCCCUUCGGGGGACAAAGUGACAGGUGGUGCAUGGUUGUCGUCAGCUCGUGUCGUGAGAUGUUGGGUUAAGUCCCGCAACGAGCGCAACCCUUAAGCUUAGUUGCCAUCAUUAAGUUGGGCACUCUAAGUUGACUGCCGGUGACAAACCGGAGGAAGGUGGGGAUGACGUCAAAUCAUCAUGCCCCUUAUGAUUUGGGCU